RNAcentral lists this long non-coding RNA (675 nucleotides) under Cyanistes caeruleus (blue tit). Its description in RNAcentral is "lncRNA (ENSCCEG00000023786.1)". Lineage: Eukaryota; Metazoa; Chordata; Aves; Passeriformes; Paridae. The record is from RNAcentral.
UUCCAGGUAGGCUCAACUAUCCAGGCAGGACAAUGAAGUUACUGCUCUCAAGGCCUGCCUAUUUUAGGCCUUUAUGCCUAGGUCUCUGUGACAUGUACUAAGAGUAAAUGUUGCACAAGCAUUUCUGCCAAACUCGCUGACAACACGGCAGCAGCUGGAAGGGGCAGUGGUGAUUUCAACUGUGCUUUCCAGUUAGGAGCUGGGACAUCGUCCAUAAACCUUCAAGGAGAAGAAACGUAGCAAUGAAUAGGUUUAGGUUCUGGCCUUCUUUUGUUCUUGAUUUGAACAGCUCCUGUCCUAAUUAUAAUCAUUUGCCAUGUGAUUUUAAAGCGAUUAUGAAUUGACUGUAAUGCAUGCAGAUUACUGAUCUCUCAUGCACAAAAUUAAUUUACUCUGCCAGCAAUUUCAGACACUGAACUUCAGUUGGUGACUCACAGCUUUGCGUAAAUGAUUCUACAGAAAGCCAGUGAAAUAGUAAACAUUCAAUACACAUUUUUCUUUAACAGAAUCUUCAUUAUUACUCCUUAUAAGGAAAUGUUGCCAGUGAAAAAGAAAACACUCCCAUGCAAACACGGGCAAUUUAACUGGAUACCUUUUAUGAGAUUUUGCAGCAGUGCACUCAGGGAGAGGAAAUAUAAGAGCCACUUAGGAAGGAACAACAGCACUACAGAGUGA